GGUUUGGAAGGCCGCCAGACAGAGGGAGAAGAAAAGAGAGAUGAAGAAAAAAGAAAUAUAGGAGAAGUAAGUAACAGGGUCAACUAAAAUAUUCCACACACAUUUCAAGGACUGAUAUACGCUUCAGUUCUCACCGUAUUACAAAUAACCGAUCGCCAAUGUAGACUGGAAGAAGUUAGGAGCAGCAGAAACUUCCUUACUGUCAGCUCACAUUAGGGGGCCGGCCGUUAUGACUAACACUUUGAUCGAUGACGAUGUGGUCAAUAAAACGGCGACACACCCGUCAUGUGGAGAUGAGAGACAGGGCCGAGCCACUUUAAUCAGGGGCCAUGUCAGAACCAUUCAUCAAUCUGACCCAAAUAGGGAGACAAGCAGAUGGAGGCAGACAGAAAAAGGACAGAGAGACACUGACAUAGGGACAGAGAAAAUGAGGGCGUGAGAGAGAGGGGGGUGAUUGAGGGUGUUUGUAAGUGAUAAUUAGAUCAGAAUGAGAGGCGAUGAUUAUCCACUAACUACAGGGCAUGUGUGAACGUGUGAGUCUCUUUAUUCGUCUGUAAAUGUAUAGCAUAGAAUGUAAUUUUGAAUACAUUUUUUUUUAUUUGAUCAAGUUUCUUUCUAAAACAACAAAAACAAAUUUCCUAUUUUAUAGCUCUGGACAGGUUUUCAGUCAGCGUUAAUAAAAUAUAUAUUCAGGAUUUUAAAACUUUUUUUCCACGUUGGAGACGUUUAAAUUUAUUGUCGACUUUCCCCAAUUUACUCAAAGUCGAAACAGGACUCGGAAUUUAUCGUCAUUUGUCAUUCAUCAUGAUAAAUGUCUUAUCACAAUGAGUGUGAUGUUCACAUUGUACUGUUUUCUGUUUGUGCCAAUCCUAGUCACGCCCCUCAUUUCCGUUAUUCCUCGCACUUGUGUUGCUUCCUGAUUGUCUCCCUUCUUAAGCUUCUCUCAGUCGCAACCACGCUGCCAGAUUAUCGAACGCUUUCAGCAAGUAGUUUUCCAGCACUUUUACCUCGCCCUCAUAGCCACGACCACGCUUUGUUCCUCGGACCUGCCCCUUUUGCCUUGCCCUUGUCGGACUGUUACUAUCGCCCUUCUGGAUCUCGACCCACGCCUGUUUCAGUUACACCGCUCUCGCCCACUCCCACGGAUUCUACCCUUAGCCCCGAUCGUGCAUGACCUCGGCCCGUCUGACUAAGGAUUCGGAUUUGGUUCUUCUGCUGCCUAACUAGUUUGUACGCUGCCCUGCAUCAGCGCUUCCCUCCCCAGGCUCUUCCUGCCGAGCUCUGCGUCAGCGCAGCAUCUGCGCUCCUCCUCGUUCCUCAGCCGAUCACUUCAGUUACUGAUCGCCAAGCCAGUGCUGCAGCGGACGAUCCUGCGUGCCCGGUUUAAGCUGCCUUUUAAUAAAUAUCAGAGUUUUCUGCUCACUCCUGUGUCGUGGCUAAUUUUCUGGGUCCCUCUAGUGAACCAUUACAAUGAAACUUUGUUUCAUCAUUGUCAUGACAACUUCCGAUUGAUGAUGUUUAAAAAUCCCUGAAACUCUUCAUAUUGCCAGAGUUGUUAUUUUUAUCCUCUGUUCCAUGAAAGUUUUCUGUCUGUAUUUGGCAGAGUUGUAACAUAUCCAUCUAAAUUCUUUAUAUCUAUAAACUUAUGAUCUAGGAAUAAGCUGUUGUUAAGAAUGGCUUCAGAAAAGUCAGUCCUAUAUUAGACAUUAAAGGACGUUCAGUCCCACUUUGUAUAAGGCUUAGUUGAUGUAUAUUUCAGUGUGAUUCAGAAUUUGGACUCGGUGUAGAGCCCCCCACCCCCCCAAAACCUCAAAUCUGUUCACCCAAUUCGUACUUUUAAAAAAUCCACCUUAACUAAAACAGAAACGUAGCUCAAAUAAACAAUUCAAAGCUCAAAAUUGCUAUAAAAUGUAUGACAGUGAUGAGUUUUGAACACAAAUGUGCAGAAAAGACAGUAAGGCCCUGUGAGGCACAGCAGUAAGGGUGGGUAUUUAUUGUGUCAUUUAUCAUUUAUUCUUAUAAAUCAAAACCUUAUAAAUUUUUUUGUAUCUGUUACAUGCAGUGGUUUCUGCAUGUAGGAUUUCCCCCCAAACUCAGGUUGCUGCUGAGCUCCGGCGGGUUAAGCAGGCCCAGCUGGUUUCACUCUGCCUCCUGAUGAGCAGAAUAUAAAUCUAGACUUUCGAAACUGACUUUCAGGGCCUCUUGGCCCUUUGGGCAGCAUGUGUGCUGCAGCUUUGUGGUGCUGUGAUGGAGGAUUUGUCUGCUAGAAACCCUGGUUUUUGUUGUUAUUCUCUCCCCUUUCUUUUCUUUUAGGUUCUCAUUUUCACCUUUGAGACUUCUUCCGAUCCCACUUAAAGAAUAAACCUUUAACUUUACCCUCCUGGUUUUGUCUCUUCAUUUUUUCCCUGGUUUAUCUAUUGUUACAG
Molecule: long non-coding RNA, 2426 nt
Organism: Xiphophorus couchianus (Monterrey platyfish)
Lineage: Eukaryota; Metazoa; Chordata; Actinopteri; Cyprinodontiformes; Poeciliidae
Exons: 2
Source: RefSeq, a predicted model, not a curated record